AUUGCACGCUGGCGGCAGGCUUAACACAAGCAAGUCGAGCGAGCGGCGGACGGGUGAGUAAUGUCUGGGAAACUGCCAGAUGGUGGGGGAUAACUACUGGAAACGGUAGCUAAUACCGCAUACCAUCAGAUGUGCCCAGAUCGGAUUGGCUAGUAGGUGGGGUAAUGGCUCACCAAGGCGACGAUCCCUAGCUGGUCUGAGAGGAUGACGUGGGAAGCGUGAGAUGUGAAUCGGAGAAGAAGCGUAUGGGCGGGGCUGGGGGGGAAGGUGGCAGUACGGGCGAAGGCCUGAUGCCGCGAUGCCGGGUGGGUGUGGAGGGAAUUCGGGUUUUAAAGCACUUUCGGCGAUGAGAGGUUAGUCGUUGAAGAUGCACCGGCUGACUCUGUGCCAGCAGCCGCGGUAAUAC
RNAcentral lists this ribosomal RNA (406 nucleotides) under uncultured bacterium. Its description in RNAcentral is "partial 16S ribosomal RNA". It matches the Rfam family "Bacterial small subunit ribosomal RNA", at positions 28 to 526 of the family's 1533-position model. The record is from RNAcentral.